RNAcentral lists this ribosomal RNA (415 nucleotides) under Magallana gigas (Pacific oyster). RNAcentral describes it as "Crassostrea gigas (Pacific oyster) partial 16S ribosomal RNA". It matches the Rfam family "Bacterial large subunit ribosomal RNA", at positions 1944 to 2595 of the family's 2925-position model. The record is from RNAcentral. Lineage: Eukaryota; Metazoa; Mollusca; Bivalvia; Ostreida; Ostreidae.
GAGGGUGCUAAGGUAGCGAGAUUCCUUGCCUUUUGAUUGUGGGCCUGCAUGAAUGGUUUAACGAGGGUUUGACUGUCUCUAAAUUUUUUAUUGAAAUUGUACUGAAGGUGAAGAUACCUUCAUUUAAAAGUUAGACAAAAAGACCCCGUGCAACUUUGAAAAUUAACUUUAUUCAGGAGUAAAAGAUUUUUAGGUGGGGCGCCUAGAAAGCAAGUCUAACCUUUCUGAAUAACUAACUCUUUCCGGAUUUGACCCGAUUAUAUUCGAUCAUAGGAGAAGUUACGCCGGGGAUAACAGGCUAAUCCUUUAGUAGAGUUCGUAUUGGCUAAAGGGAUUGGCACCUCGAUGUUGAAUCAGGGAUAAUAGCUUCAAGGCGUAGAGGCUUUGAAAGUAGGUCUGUUCGACCUUUAAUACC